CAAUGGGGCCAAUGGGCUGUGGGGCCAAUGGGGCCAAUGGGGUCAGUGGGUUCUGGGGUCCCUGCCUUAUGGGGUCCCUGGGUUGUGGGGCCAAUGGGGCCAAUGGGGUCCGUGGGUUCUGGGGUCCCUGCCUUAUGGGGUCAGUGGGUUCUGGGGUCCCUGCCUUAUGGGGUCUGUGGGUUAUGGGGCCAAUGGGGUCAGAGGGUUCUGGGGUCCCUGCCUUAUGGGGUCAGUGGGUUC
This 240-nucleotide long non-coding RNA is filed under the name Phasianus colchicus (ring-necked pheasant). RNAcentral's name for it is "lncRNA (ENSPCLG00000017413.1)". Lineage: Eukaryota; Metazoa; Chordata; Aves; Galliformes; Phasianidae. The record is from RNAcentral.